This 1073-nucleotide ribosomal RNA is filed under the name uncultured bacterium. Its description in RNAcentral is "bacterial SSU rRNA". It matches the Rfam family "Bacterial small subunit ribosomal RNA", at positions 55 to 1099 of the family's 1533-position model. The record is from RNAcentral.
CUGCAGUCGAGCGAUGAUUGCGGGGUAGCAAUAUUCCGUAAUUGGAGCGGCGCAAGGGUGCGUAACACGUGGGUAAUCUGCCGUGAAGUCUGGAAUAACCUGCUGAAAGGCAAGCUAAUACCGGAUGUGAAAAUUGGAAGGCAUCUUUUGAUUUUCAAAGUUGGGGACCGCAAGGCCUGACGCUUCACGAUGAGCCCGCGGUCUAUCAGCUAGUUGGUGAGGUAACGGCUCACCAAGGCUAAGACGGGUAGCUGGUCUGAGAGGACGACCAGCCACACUGGAACUGAGACACGGUCCAGACACCUACGGGUGGCAGCAGUCGAGAAUUUUUCACAAUGGGCGAAAGCCUGAUGGAGCGACGCCGCGUGGGGGAUGAAUGGCUUCGGCCCGUAAACCCCUGUCAUUCGCGAACAAUGCCUGCGGCUUAAUACGUUGCAGGUUGAUAGUAGCGGAAGAGGAAGGGACGGCUAACUCUGUGCCAGCAGCCGCGGUAAUACAGAGGUCCCAAGCGUUGUUCGGAUUCACUGGGCGUAAAGGGUGCGUAGGUGGUCGGGUAAGUCUGAUGUGAAAUCUCGGAGCCUAACUCCGAAACUGCAUUGGAUACUAUUCGGCUGGAGGGUUGGAGGGGGGACUGGAAUUCUCGGUGUAGCAGUGAAAUGCGUAGAUAUCGAGAGGAACACCAGUGGCGAAGGCGAGUCCCUGGACAACUCCUGACACUAAGGCACGAAAGCUAGGGGAGCAAACAGGAUUAGAUACCCUGGUAGUCCUAGCCGUAAACGGUGCACGUUUGCUGUAAAAGGAAUCGACCCCUUUUGUGGCGUAGCCAACGCGUUAAACGUGCCGCCUGGGAAGUACGGUCGCAAGAUUAAAACUCAAAGAAAUUGACGGGGGCCUGCACAAGCGGUGGAGUAUGUGGCUCAAUUCGAUGCAACGCGAAGAACCUUACCUGGCCUUGACAUGUAGUAGUAGAAGGAUGAAAGUCCGACGAUCCCGCAAGGGAAGCUUACACAGGGUGCUGCAUGGCUGUCGUCAGCUCGUGUCGUGAGGAUGUGGGGUUAGUCCCGCACGAGCGC